Ictalurus punctatus (channel catfish) is the source of this 268-nucleotide long non-coding RNA. RefSeq lists it as uncharacterized. NCBI's taxonomy places the organism in Eukaryota, Metazoa, Chordata, Actinopteri, Siluriformes, Ictaluridae. The transcript has 3 exons. The record is from RefSeq and is a predicted model, not a curated record.
GUUCAGUGGCCUCUUCAGUUGUGUUGCCCCGUUAAGGCUUGGAAUAAAACGUCCUCCUCGCCUCAGGUGAUCGGAUCACCAUAGCGGCUUUACUUAAGGAAAGAUGUGCUCAAAGUAUAAGAGAUUAUUUUCUUUGGUUUAAAAAUAUGAAACUGUGUCAUCAUUGUUCUCUCACCAAAUGACCACACAUCGGACUUGCUGCUGAACUUGUUAUAUCGGAUCACUUCUGGAGACGACCACUUUACAGGGAAUUUGCUUGUGUAGCUGG